AUCCGAAUAGUGUAGUGGUUAUCACGUUUGCUUUACACGCAAAAGGUCUCCGGUUCGAACCCGGGUUCGGAUA
Molecule: transfer RNA, 73 nt
Filed under: Neocallimastix californiae
Lineage: Eukaryota; Fungi; Neocallimastigomycota; Neocallimastigomycetes; Neocallimastigales; Neocallimastigaceae
Rfam family: tRNA
About the family: Transfer RNA (tRNA) molecules are approximately 80 nucleotides in length. Their secondary structure includes four short double-helical elements and three loops (D, anti-codon, and T loops). Further hydrogen bonds mediate the characteristic L-shaped molecular structure. tRNAs have two regions of fundamental functional importance: the anti-codon, which is responsible for specific mRNA codon recognition, and the 3' end, to which the tRNAs corresponding amino acid is attached (by aminoacyl-tRNA synthetases). tRNAs cope with the degeneracy of the genetic code in two manners: having more than one tRNA (with a specific anti-codon) for a particular amino acid; and 'wobble' base-pairing, i.e. permitting non-standard base-pairing at the 3rd anti-codon position.
Source: Rfam by way of RNAcentral